Molecule: ribosomal RNA, 764 nt
Filed under: uncultured Flavobacterium sp.
Lineage: Bacteria; Pseudomonadati; Bacteroidota; Flavobacteriia; Flavobacteriales; Flavobacteriaceae
Description: bacterial SSU rRNA
Rfam family: Bacterial small subunit ribosomal RNA
Source: RNAcentral
GUUUAAAGGGUCCGUAGGCGGUUUAGUAAGUCAGUGGUGAAAGCCCAUCGCUCAACGGUGGAACGGCCAUUGAUACUGCUAAACUUGAAUUAUUAGGAGGUAACUAGAAUAUGUAGUGUAGCGGUGAAAUGCUUAGAGAUUACAUGGAAUACCAAUUGCGAAGGCAGGUUACUACUAAUGGAUUGACGCUGAUGGACGAAAGCGUGGGUAGCGAACAGGAUUAGAUACCCUGGUAGUCCACGCCGUAAACGAUGGAUACUAGCUGUUGGAAGCAAUUUCAGUGGCUAAGCGAAAGUGAUAAGUAUCCCACCUGGGGAGUACGUUCGCAAGAAUGAAACUCAAAGGAAUUAACGGGGGCCCGCACAAGCGGUGGAGCAUGUGGUUAAAUUCGAUGAUACGCGAGGAACCUUACCAAGGCUUAAAUGUAGAUUGACCGGUUUGGAAACAGACUUUUCGCAAGACAAUUUACAAGGAGCUGCAUGGUUGCCGUCAGCUCGUGCCGUGAGGUGUCAGGUUAAGUCCUAUAACGAGCGCAACCCCUGUUGUUAGUUGCCAGCGAGUCAUGUCGGGAACUCUAACGAGACUGCCAGUGCAAACUGAGAGGAAGGUGGGGAUGACGUCAAAUCAUCACGGCCCUUACGCCUUGGGCUACACACGUGCUACAAUGGCCGGUACAGAGAGCAGCCACUGGGUGACCAGGAGCGAAUCUAUAAAACCGGUCACAGUUCGGAUCGGAGUCUGCAACUCGACUCCGUGAAGCUGGA